RNAcentral lists this long non-coding RNA (2000 nucleotides) under Phascolarctos cinereus (koala). RNAcentral's name for it is "lncRNA (ENSPCIG00000030656.1)". Lineage: Eukaryota; Metazoa; Chordata; Mammalia; Diprotodontia; Phascolarctidae. The record is from RNAcentral.
AGAGUGCCUCCCCCCCCCCCCCCCGAGGCACUGAUGUCCAGCUGCUUCUCUUGGGGCUGCCUGCACUCACGUUGGAAGAUGAUCAGAGCUCGGAGGAGGGCACCAAGCUCCAUGGCCAGGACGGUCCUCAGGCUGCUGGGCCAGCACAGGAUGAGGGACAAGGCAUGAGCAGGGAGCAGAGGGCAGACCCUGGGAGCCUAGCCCUCUCUGAUCCUGAGAGUAUCCAGGGAAGGAGAAAAUCCAGGCCCACCAAGAGGAAUCUAGAGGUGUCAUUACUUGGGAAAGGUAAGUGGGGGGUAGGGAGAGCAUGUCAUUAGGGACCUGAUGGGCACAGUGGGCACAUGGCGAGGAGGUAGGCUUCCAGAAGGACCCAGCAGGAGCACUGAUUGAGUCAUGAGGCCCCCAAGGGUUCACAUCUCACCUUCCUCACUGACUAACUACAUGACUUUGUUCCAGUCACAACCUCUUGGCCUUAGCUUCCUAAGGCAUCCUAAAAAGGAUGGAAUUAGACCAGCUGACUUCUAAGGUACUUUCUCAUCCUGUAUCCUCCCCAUCUAUGAAUUAGCGUCCAGCAAUCCCCAGGUUCUGACCUGAUCUCCAGGGAAGCUUUUUAGAAUCCUCCUGAGCGGGCCCAGAUCUCAGAGCUUAGGGUUCUUUCUCCAGGAAUCUUCUUUGGAAUGGAAGGAGUAGAAAGCCUCUCUUCUCAGGGGAGCUUGAACAGCAUCCAGCCUCCAGGAGCCCUUCUCCCCACCCUGUGCCUCCGAGGACCAGCCUUGCUCAGAACUUGUCACCCAAGUUGUUGGACAGUGGCUUAGCUGCCCUGCCUGACCUGAGGAUCAGGCCCGCGGACUGACUGUGCUGGUGGACGCCUAAUGCUGCCUGCCCUACUCCAGGCUCUUCCAGGGGCUUCUCCAGAUGCAGGCUCUUCUCUCCUUCAUCCCUACCUCCCAGCUGCCCUUCACUCUGGGGGGCCGUCUCCACUACAACCACGAUGCUUGGCUGGGUUUCCAAAAGCUGCUGGAAGCCUUGCAGGAGAGCUACCUGGAGGCCCUUGCCCUGCUCCACAGGGCCAUCCAGAACCUAAAAGGAGAUCCCAGGCCGGGGACUGCUGGGGUGAGUGUGCAUGGUGGCUCCCGGGGGUGGUCACAUCACCCCCUUGCCCCCCACCCCCUCUGUGGCACUGCCUUCUUGCUCUGCUCAUCUCUGUGGUGUCUGUGCCCAUCCUCGGGGACUGACGCAGCUGUUGUGGGACCCACGGGAGCUGAUGGAGCGUGUGCUGGUAUACCCUCUGCUGCUGUGGUUGCAGCGGGAAGGUGGCAUGGCCCUGGCAGAGCUCCAGAGGGAGGAGCCGGGUGGCAUGCAGAGCUCGGACCACAGGUGGGCAUUGUGGAGAGGCCUCAGGGUGGUGGAACUUCCCAUCCCAUGGUGCCCCGCUCAAGAGGGACAAUUGUUUCUCAUGCCAGGCUGGCGGUGGAGGAGGUGGGGAAGCUGUACGCCCAGGCGGAUGGGAUGCUGCAUGAGCUGGUCACUUGUGCAACCAACGGAUAUGGACACGAGUUGGAAAAGAUGCUGAAGGCCCAGACAAAACCGCUGGCCGAGAUUGAGACGUGGCUGCAGAACGUCGGCUGGCCGGGGCUGACGGUGCCGAAGGACCCUUUGCUGAACAUGCUGCUUCAGGCCCAGGAUGCCUUCUUCAGGCUUGACUGGGCUUCCCAGGUGGGCUCGGGUCAGAGGAGAGCAGGAUACAGGAUUCUUUUUUGUGGGGCAGAAUGGAGGGCAUGCAGGCAGAGGCCAGCCCAGGCUUGGUGGUGGUGGGUGGGGUAGUGUGGGUAGUUCUAUAUCAAGGGAUCCUAGGACCUCAGGAACCUUAUUGAUCCACUCUCCCAUUCCAUAGAUUACAAGACCAAGGCCCAGAAGCCAUCCUGGGGUAGCAGCAGGGGAGCAAGGCUGGCAGAAGGCAGGAGGGGCAGAGGGCAUCCCAGGUCUAGGGUGGGUUUGAC